Molecule: ribosomal RNA, 1494 nt
Filed under: metagenome
Description: bacterial SSU rRNA
Rfam family: Bacterial small subunit ribosomal RNA
Source: RNAcentral
AGAGUUUGAUCAUGGCUCAGGAUGAACGCUAGCUACAGGCUUAACACAUGCAAGUCGAGGGGCAGCAUGAACUUAGCUUGCUAAGUUCGAUGGCGACCGGCGCACGGGUGAGUAACGCGUAUCCAACCUUCCGCAUACUCGGGAAUAGCCUUUCGAAAGAAAGAUUAAUGCCCGAUGGUAUCCUAAAUGCACAUGCGAGUAGGAUUAAAGAUUCAUCGGUAUGCGAUGGGGAUGCGUUCCAUUAGAUAGUUGGCGGGGUAACGGCCCACCAAGUCGACGAUGGAUAGGGGUUCUGAGAGGAAGGUCCCCCACAUUGGAACUGAGACACGGUCCAAACUCCUACGGGAGGCAGCAGUGAGGAAUAUUGGUCAAUGGGCGAGAGCCUGAACCAGCCAAGUAGCGUGAAGGAUGAAGGUCCUACGGAUUGUAAACUUCUUUUAUACGGGGAUAAAGUGACUUACGUGUAGGUCAUUGCAGGUACCGUAUGAAUAAGCAUCGGCUAACUCCGUGCCAGCAGCCGCGGUAAUACGGAGGAUGCGAGCGUUAUCCGGAUUUAUUGGGUUUAAAGGGAGCGUAGACGGGUCGUUAAGUCAGCUGUGAAAGUUUGGGGCUCAACCUUAAAAUUGCAGUUGAUACUGGCGUCCUUGAGUACGGUUGAGGCAGGCGGAAUUCGUGGUGUAGCGGUGAAAUGCAUAGAUAUCACGAAGAACCCCGAUUGCGAAGGCAGCCUGCUAAGCCGCCACUGACGUUGAUGCUCGAAAGUGUGGGUAUCAAACAGGAUUAGAUACCCUGGUAGUCCACACGGUAAACGAUGGAUACUCGCUGUUGGCGAUACACUGUCAGCGGCUUAGCGAAAGCGUUAAGUAUCCCACCUGGGGAGUACGCCGGCAACGGUGAAACUCAAAGGAAUUGACGGGGGCCCGCACAAGCGGAGGAACAUGUGGUUUAAUUCGAUGAUACGCGAGGAACCUUACCCGGGCUUGAAUUGCGGACGAAUUACGAGGAAACUUGUAAGCCGCAAGGCGUCUGUGAAGGUGCUGUAUGGUUGUCGUCAGCUCGUGUCGUGAGAUGUUGGGUUAAGUCCCGCAACGAGCGCAACCCUUAUCUUCAGUAGCCAGCAAUUCGGAUGGGCACUCUGGAGAGACUGCCAGGGAUAACCUGGAGGAAGGUGGGGAUGACGUCAAAUCAUCAUGCCCCUUAUGAGCAGGGCUACACACGUGCUACAAUGGCGUAAACAAAGGGAAGCGAGCCUGCGAGGGUAAGCAAAUCUCAAAAAUAACGUCUCAGUUCGGAUUGUAGUCUGCAACUCGACUACAUGAAGCUGGAAUCGCUAGUAAUCGCGAAUCAGCAUGUCGCGGUGAAUACGUUCCCGGGUCUUGUACACACCGCCCGUCACACCAUGGGAGUUGGUAACGCCCGAAGUCAGUGACCCAACCGUAAGGAGGGAGCUGCCGAAGGUGGGACCGAUAACUGGGGUGAAGUCGUAACAAGGUA